Molecule: ribosomal RNA, 253 nt
Filed under: uncultured bacterium
Lineage: Bacteria
Description: partial 16S ribosomal RNA
Rfam family: Bacterial small subunit ribosomal RNA
Source: RNAcentral
UACAGAGGGUGCAAGCGUUAGUCGGAGUUACUGGGCGUAAAGGGCGCGUAGGCGGUUAUUUAAGUGAGAUGUGAAAUCCCUGGGCUUAACCUAGGAACUGCAUCUCAUACUGAAUGACUAGAGUAUUGUAGAGGGUAGUGGAAUUUCCGGUGUAGCGGUGAAAUGCGUAGAGAUCGGAAGGAACACCAGUGGCGAGGGCGGCUACCUGGACAAAUACUGACGCUGAGGCGCGAAAGCGUGGGGAGCGAACAGG